RNAcentral lists this long non-coding RNA (516 nucleotides) under Coturnix japonica (Japanese quail). RNAcentral describes it as "lncRNA (ENSCJPG00005010296.1)". Lineage: Eukaryota; Metazoa; Chordata; Aves; Galliformes; Phasianidae. The record is from RNAcentral.
CUCUAUUCUAAACUGCAUUAUUCAGUCUAAAGGCAAAUCCUGAGCAUCUAGGUGACUGUACAAUUUCUGCUAUUGUUACAGGCUGGGGGUGUAAGGAUAAAACAGCUCUACUGGAAAGGACUUUGGAGUACCGGUGUAUGGCAAACUGAAUGUGAGCCAGCAGUGUGUGCUCACAGCUCAGAAAGCCAACUGUGUUCUGGGCUGCUUGGAAAGAAGCAAAUGAUAGUAUCCCUUGGCGUGACCUGAUCUUCAGCUCUCCAGCAUGUGCAGUGCAUAGCACAGAACUGCAAAGGACACAUUCAGGAUGUUGACAGAUCAAGGGCAGAUCUGGAUAGUUGAUCUGAUGCUGGACACAGAGAGCCUAAAAAAUGCUUUUCCCAGAGGUGAAAGGAUAAAAGGAAAUCAUUGUGAGCUGCAGCACUGGAAAUUCCAAUUGAACAGAAGGAAGAAUUUUCACUAUCGGGGAGGUGCCCAGAGAUGUUCUGGUAUCUCCAUCACUGAAGAUCUUCAAAACAG